This is a long non-coding RNA of Rosa rugosa (rugosa rose), 1202 nucleotides long. RefSeq lists it as uncharacterized. The transcript has 7 exons. NCBI's taxonomy places the organism in Eukaryota, Viridiplantae, Streptophyta, Magnoliopsida, Rosales, Rosaceae. The record is from RefSeq and is a predicted model, not a curated record.
CCUAAAUGACCGAAGGCGGGGAGGAAAACAAAUUGGCGCUAAUCCAAAAGAAAAAGAAAAAUAAAGAUAAACCCUAAUUAAGGAGAAACAGAAUCUUAUCUCUCAUUGUUUUCUCCUCUACUCAACUGCGUCUCUGUGGCAUCCUCUCUCAAUCUCACAUCUUUGAAGCUCUCUCAGAUCACUAUCUCUCACGGAGGGUUCCUCCACCACUGCCAACAACACCGUCAAGGAAAGAGUUGGACCAUUUCCAAAAUUUAGCUCAAGUUCAAGAUCUUAAGGUUAGACGACAAUUGGAUCCUCAAAUUGUUGAUAGAAGACAGAGCCUCAAAAUUAGUCAGUGUCAUCACCAGUUGGAUGUACUUGAAACAUAGAUUUCAACCAGAAUUUACCAAUGGUCUCAACAAAAGAGGAAGUAUUAGAAAAUAAACACAGAUGUUAAAACUGAAGAAGAAUGGGCUUUUCUGUGCACUCAUUUUUCUAGUAAAGAUUUUCAGAUUGUUUCAGAGAAAAAUUCUAUUAAUAGGUCACGUUUGAAAUAUCACCAUAAAGCAGGGUCGAAGUCUUUUAUGUCGCAUCAAGAACAUAUUGGUGCACAAACAGGGGAGAUGCUAGGUGCAAUUGAACGCUUUGAAAUGAAGUACAAAAGCAUUAAAAAAAGGUUGGGACUUGGGAGCGAAAGAAUUAUGGGAUCAAAUGGUUAAUAUGCGAACUAAGACAACCCUUCCUGAUGGGACUCGAACCAUGAAUGAUGAUGAAAUAUGUGCAAAGGUUCUUGGAGUGAACAAGAAAAGAUUGAUGCACAAAACGUGCUGAUCCAGGAAUUGCAGGAGCAAGGCAAAAAGUUUGAGCCGUUCAUGGCAACCUUUAUGAACCAACAAGCAUCAAGUUAGUUAUGCGUAUCUAGGAUUUAGUAUCAGUUAAACAAGUUCAUUGAUUUUUGGAUCAUUUUUAGUUCAGUAUUGACUUUAGACUAUUCCAAUUAGUAGUUAUGGUAGACAACAUUAUGAAUUAUUAUUUUGUUUAUUGUUUAACAAGUUUUGAAUAAGAAUCCUCUUUUUAGAAUAAAAUAAUAUGUAUCGCUGGCAGGUUGUAUCGUAAUAAGAAGACAACUGCAACAAAAAUAAAUUUCCUCGCUAUAGAUUAAAAUCAAUAACGACAAAAAUAAAUUUUCUCACUAUAGACUGUAGAUCCUACACUGACGG